RNAcentral lists this transfer RNA (73 nucleotides) under Ictidomys tridecemlineatus (thirteen-lined ground squirrel). RNAcentral's name for it is "Spermophilus tridecemlineatus (thirteen-lined ground squirrel) tRNA". It matches the Rfam family "tRNA". Rfam says of the family: Transfer RNA (tRNA) molecules are approximately 80 nucleotides in length. Their secondary structure includes four short double-helical elements and three loops (D, anti-codon, and T loops). The record is from Rfam by way of RNAcentral. Lineage: Eukaryota; Metazoa; Chordata; Mammalia; Rodentia; Sciuridae.
GGGGAUAUAGCUCACCUGGUAGAGUGCUUACUUCGAAUGCAUAAGGCCCUGGGUUCAAUCCCCAGCACCACCA